AUGUCCAUUAUCACUCCUACUACUUUGCUUACUGUCAAUGAGCUCAUUGAUGAAGAAAACUGGACAUGGAAGACGGAUCUUGUUCGACAAAAUUUUCUUGCUCCGGAUGCAGAUGCUAUUCUGAACAUACCAUUGCGCACUGGAGGUGGGGAUGAUUUCUUUGCAUGGGCUUUUGAAAACUCAGGUGUGUACACUGUCAAGUCGGCGUACCGUGCUCUCGUGACUCAGAAAGAGCGUAAAGCUCUAGAGGAAGGGACGGCUACCGGUGCCUCAAAAUCUAAACAACAGAUGUGGACAUCUCUGUGGAAGCUCAAAGUUGUGCCAAAGGUCAAAGUUUUU
RNAcentral lists this ribosomal RNA (339 nucleotides) under Triticum aestivum (bread wheat). RNAcentral describes it as "partial small subunit ribosomal RNA". The record is from RNAcentral. Lineage: Eukaryota; Viridiplantae; Streptophyta; Magnoliopsida; Poales; Poaceae.